AUUGAACGCUGGCGGCAGGCCUAACACAUGCAAGUCGAACGAGCGGCGGACGGGUGAGUAAUGUAUGGGGACUGCCCGAUAGAGGGGGAUAACUCCUGGAAAAGGUAGCUCAUACCGCAUACUAUCGGAUUACCCAUAUUGGAUUAGCUAGUAGGUGAGGUAAUGGCUCACGUAGGCGACGAUCCCUAGCUGGUCUGAGAGGAUGAGCAGCCAAACUGGAACUGAGACACGGCCCAGACUCCUACGGAGGCAGCAGUGGGGAAUAUUGCACAAUGGGCGCAAGCCUGAUGCAGCCAUGCCGCGUGUAUGAAGAAGGCCCUAGGGUUGUAAAGUACUUUCAGUCGUGAGGCGUUACCGGCAGAAGAAGCACCGGCUAACUCCGUGCCAGCAGCCGCGGUAAUAC
RNAcentral lists this ribosomal RNA (403 nucleotides) under uncultured bacterium. RNAcentral's name for it is "partial 16S ribosomal RNA". It matches the Rfam family "Bacterial small subunit ribosomal RNA", at positions 30 to 526 of the family's 1533-position model. The record is from RNAcentral.